Molecule: ribosomal RNA, 504 nt
Filed under: Triticum aestivum (bread wheat)
Lineage: Eukaryota; Viridiplantae; Streptophyta; Magnoliopsida; Poales; Poaceae
Description: partial small subunit ribosomal RNA
Source: RNAcentral
AUGGCGUGUCCGUGCUGGAGGAGACUGCGGUCGUUCGUGCGAUACGAGACGGACAGCACCGAGCCGCUCAGUCGCCGGCUGUCGGGUGCCAAGGAGGAGGCGGUCUCCGACGGCGAGGCACUCGGGGGACUCAUCGAGCGCGUGGCGUCCCUCCAGCGCGCCCUCGAGUCGGCGGUGCUGCAGCGUAACGUGGCCGUGGCACUGAUGCACGAGGCCCAGCGGCACGCGGAGGAGGCCGAGGCUGCGGUCGGGGCCGCUGCGAGGGCCGGCGAGCUUGCCGCGGCGGAAGUGCGCGAGAAGACGGAGCAGAGCGCGGCGACGGACGCGCGCAUCAGGGAGCUCGAGAGGGAGAUGCUAGUGCUACGUGAUGGCGAACAAUGGGCGCUGGAGGCCGCCGCCGCGGAGACGCGGGAGAAGGAGGGGGAGCCAUGCAUGGGAGGGGCGUGCGCGUCAGGAAGCUCGUGGAGGAGAUGCUACCUGAUGAGCAAUGGGUGGCAGACGUGA